RNAcentral lists this ribosomal RNA (482 nucleotides) under uncultured bacterium. RNAcentral's name for it is "partial 16S ribosomal RNA". It matches the Rfam family "Bacterial small subunit ribosomal RNA", at positions 30 to 507 of the family's 1533-position model. The record is from RNAcentral.
AUUGAACGCUGGCGGCAUGCCUUACACAUGCAAGUCGAACGGUAACGGGCCUUCGGGUGCCGACGAGUGGCGAACGGGUGAGUAAUACAUCGGAACGUGCCCGAUCGUGGGGGAUAACGAGGCGAAAGCUUUGCUAAUACCGCAUACGAUCUACGGAUGAAAGCAGGGGACCGCAAGGCCUUGCGCGGACGGAGCGGCCGAUGGCAGAUUAGGUAGUUGGUGGGAUAAAAGCUUACCACGCCGACGAUCUGUAGCUGGUCUGAGAGGAUGAUCAGCCACACUGGGACUGAGACACGGCCCAGACUCCUACGGGAGGCAGCAGUGGGGAAUUUUGGACAAUGGGCGCAAGCCUGAUCCAGCCAUGCCGCGUGCAGGAUGAAGGCCUUCGGGUUGUAAACUGCUUUUGUACGGAACGAAAAGCCUUCUUUUAAUACAGGAGGGUCAUGACGGUACCGUAAGAAUAAGCACCGGCUAACUACGUG